CCAGGCUGCAGGUUUGAGAGCCGCUCUGGAUGGGCUCGCUAGAGUCGUUGUUGUGGAAGCGGUGCAUUUACAGUGCAACAGUCAGCACAUUGAAAAUACCAAUAGGAAUACAAAACAAAGUCACAUUUACUGAUUUAAUUGUAUUGCAUUCAGUUGUAUCCAGGAAACAGCCUCCAACCAUGGACCCGCACAGCGGCCGCUGGCUCGGUGCGCGGCCGCCCGCCGAGAAGCCCAGUCC
RNAcentral lists this long non-coding RNA (238 nucleotides) under Homo sapiens (human). RNAcentral's name for it is "non-protein coding lnc-BAHCC1-3:1". The record is from RNAcentral. Lineage: Eukaryota; Metazoa; Chordata; Mammalia; Primates; Hominidae.